CUGGGCUAUGCUGUGAGGGGGUGUUUGCCUCAGGUUUUUUCAUUCCACUUCAUUUCCGUCUUUCUAUUUUCUUUCAGUCAACCUUCUGCAGCUUUUUUCUCUCUAUAUCUCAUCCAUCCCACACGUACUUCAGUUUAUAUUUCAAUCCAGGAAUGCUUUACAUUUACAUUUGGGUCAUUUAGCAGAUGCUCUUUUCCAGAGCGACUUACAUCAGAGGUGUACCCUCCCUCUCACCUGAUCCCCCUGUCCACAGUGAUCUAUCAAGACCCUGUUGAUACUGUCCCUAAAACUGACCUGAGAACAGUGGGCGACAGACAGUGGUGUCCUCCUAAAGGGUCAAACGGCCCUCCGGGGACAGAUGGUGUGUCACAUCACCGGAGGACACUGAGACAGGCCAGUUUGUCGUUGUGCGCUCACUCGGCUAAUGCCAAAACAAAUGGGGCCUCUUUAGGGGUCAAAGACCCACAGGAGGCUGUUAAUAAGGGGAGAACGGAGAGAACACAUGGAAACCAUGUGUUGGAUGUAUUUGAUACCAUUCCACCUAUUCCGAGCCAGCCAUUACCACGAGCCCGUCCUCCCCAGUUAAGGUGCCACCAACCUCCUGUGCUCAGACCUCCC
Molecule: long non-coding RNA, 618 nt
Filed under: Salmo salar (Atlantic salmon)
Lineage: Eukaryota; Metazoa; Chordata; Actinopteri; Salmoniformes; Salmonidae
Description: lncRNA (ENSSSAG00000108154.1)
Source: RNAcentral